CCAAGCGCCCUUCUGGGCGUCCAGUGCUGAACCAGAACAACUCAGCUGAUCGCACGGUCUUGCACCGGCGACGUGUCUUUCAAGUGUCUGCCUUAUCAACUUUCGAUGGUAGUGUACCUGACUACCAUGGUUGUGACGGGUAACGGAGGAUAAGGGUUCGACUCCGGAGAAGGGGCCUGAGAAAUGGCCACUACGUCUAAGGAUGGCAGCAGGCGCGCAAAUUACCCACUCUCAACGCGAGGAGGUAGUGACGAGAAAUAACAAGACCGUUCUCAUACGAGGCCGGUUAUUGGAAUGGGUACAAUUUAAACCCUUUAACGAGUAUCUAUGAGAGGGCAAGUCUGGUGCCAGCAGCCGCGGUAAUUCCAGCUCUCAAAAUGCAUAGAAUUAUUGCUGCGGUUAAAAAGCUCGUAGUUGGAUCUGUGCCGGCUGGCCGGUCCGCCCACUGGGUGUGCACUGGUUCGGUUGGCUUUUCCGCCGGAGUGCCUGGCGUUGGUGUGCUCGCAAGGGUGUGCCAGCGCGGGUCCGGCAAGUUUACUUUGAACAAAUCAGAGUGCUUCAAACAGGCGUCUCGCCUGAAUGUUCGUGCAUGGAAUAAUAGAAGAGGAUUUCGGUCCGAUUUUAUUGGUUUUGCUGACCGAGAUAAUGGUUAACAGAGACAAACGGGGCCAUUCGUAUUGCUGCGUGAGAGGUGAAAUUCUUGGACCGUAGCAAGACGGACUACAGCGAAAGCAUUUGGCAAGAAUGUCUUCAUUAAUCAAGAACGAAAGUCAGAGGUUCGAAGGCGAUCAGAUACCGCCCUAGUUCUGACCGUAAACGAUGCCAACUAGCGAUCCGCCGGCGGAUUCAUUCGCCCUGGUGGGGAGCUUCCCGGAAACGAAAGUCUUCCGGUUCCGGGGGAAGUAUGGUUGCAAAGCUGAAACUUAAAGGAAUUGACGGAAGGGCACCACCAGGAGUGGAGCCUGCGGCUUAAUUUGACUCAACACGGGGAAACUCACCCGGCCCGGACACCGUAAGGAUUGACAGAUUGAUAGCUUUUUCAUGAUUCGGUGGAUGGUGGUGCAUGGCCGUUCUUAGUUCGUGGAGCGAUUUGUCUGGUUUAUUCCGAUAACGAGCGAGACUCUGGCCUACUAAAUAGUUGGCGCAUUGCUACUGUGCGCACAACACUUCUUAGAGGGAUUUUCGGUGUUCAGCCGCACGAAAUUGAGCAAUAACAGGUCUGUGAUGCCCUUAGAUGUCCGGGGCUGCACGCGCGCUACACUGGCAAAAUCAGCGUGCUUGUCCUUCCCCGAAAGGGGUUGGUAAACCCGUGAAAAUUUGCCGUGAUUGGGAUCGGACAUUGCAAUUAUUGUCCGUGAACGAGGAAUUCCUUGUAGGGGCGAGUCAUCAACUCGCUCUGAAUACGUCCCUGCCCUUUGUACACACCGCCCGUCGCUGCCCGGGACUGAGCCAUUUCGAGAAACUCGGGGAUUGUUGGUCUGGUUGCUUUCGGGCUGCCGUUCCGGCGAGAACCGAUUUAAUCGCAGUGGCUUGAACCGGGCAAAAGUCGUAACAAGGUAGCUGUAGGUGAACCUGCUGCUGGAUCAUUACCCACUGAUCACAAUCACCACCUACCUGGCCGUUCGCCGUUGUGGGCGCACUCUUGCCUCGCGGGCAACCCAUCGCGUUGGGGGCCUAAACGUCCGUGUUCGGUCUACGGAGGCGAAGAGUCCAGGCUGGUCUGCGUGCGGACUGGCUGCCACAGCACUGAAUGGCCGAACGCCCUGUGGGCUUGCACAUUGUGGGGUGUCUGUUUGGAUGUGGCACGGUGAGCGUACGCUUCCCUCGCGGGCAACCCAUUGCGUUGGGUGCCUAAACGUCCGUGUUCGGUCUACGGAGGCGAAGUGUCCAGGAGACCCUUUUGCGUACGGGGGAAUCCGCAUCGUGUUGCCGGACGGGCACGCCCUCAGGGCACCAAACGGCUGCGUUGGCGUCUAUGCGUGGUUGAGCAGUUGUUGUGCACUUGUGUGUUGUGCUUUGGGUUCAGCAUACCUUUGGAAACUUGCGCAUUGGUUCGCCCUCCAUCGGUGUGUCCAGAGCACAGCACCUCGUGUGCUACGUCCGUGGCUGCGAUGAGACUGCGCGACAGGGUUCGGCCAUGCGAGGCCGGGCCUAGACUUGAUGAGCCCCGAGCACGUUGGGCCGCCAACACCUCUUUUUUCACUAAA
This 2207-nucleotide ribosomal RNA is filed under the name Helicotylenchus dihystera. RNAcentral describes it as "SSU rRNA". The stretch from base 1 to 1589 matches the Rfam family "Eukaryotic small subunit ribosomal RNA", at positions 222 to 1831 of the family's 1831-position model. The record is from RNAcentral. Lineage: Eukaryota; Metazoa; Nematoda; Chromadorea; Rhabditida; Hoplolaimidae.